GCCGGGGUUUCUUUACCAGGUACUGUCAUUAUCAUCCCUGGCGAAAGAGCUUUACGACCCUAAGGCCUUCAUCACUCACGCGGCAUGGCUAGAUCAGGCUUGCGCCCAUUGUCUAAGAUUCCCC
Molecule: ribosomal RNA, 124 nt
Filed under: uncultured bacterium
Lineage: Bacteria
Description: partial 16S ribosomal RNA
Source: RNAcentral